Molecule: ribosomal RNA, 253 nt
Filed under: uncultured bacterium
Lineage: Bacteria
Description: partial 16S ribosomal RNA
Rfam family: Bacterial small subunit ribosomal RNA
Source: RNAcentral
UACAGAGGUCCCAAGCGUUGUUCGGAUUCACUGGGCGUAAAGGGUGCGUAGGUGGUGAGGUAAGUCGGAUGUGAAAGCUCGGAGCUCAACUCCGAAAUGGCAUUGGAAACUACCUUGCUCGAGGGUUGGAGGGGGGACUGGAAUGCUUGGUGUAGCAGUGAAAUGCGUAGAUAUCAAGCGGAACACCAGUGGCGAAGGCGAGUCCCUAGACAACUCCUGACACUGAGGCACGAAAGCUAGGGGAGCAAACAGG